RNAcentral lists this ribosomal RNA (253 nucleotides) under uncultured bacterium. RNAcentral's name for it is "partial 16S ribosomal RNA". It matches the Rfam family "Bacterial small subunit ribosomal RNA", at positions 524 to 776 of the family's 1533-position model. The record is from RNAcentral.
UACGGAGGGUGCAAGCGUUGCUCGGAAUUAUUGGGCGUAAAGGGUAGGUAGGUGGUCUCAUUUGUCUGGGGUGAAAGCCUUGAGCUUAACUCAAGAAGUGCCCCAGAAACGGUGAGACUAGAGUUCUGGAGAGGGUCGUGGAAUUCCCGGUGUAGCGGUGAAAUGCGUAGAGAUCGGGAGGAACACCAGAGGCGAAGGCGGCGACCUGGACAGAUACUGACACUCAACUACGAAAGCGUGGGGAGCAAACAGG